CCAGGAGUGAUCCUUGUUUCCAUGUAUCUCUUCACUUGAUCAAUUACUCUAUUCAUAGCAGCUAAACUAGUACAAGUAAUUGAAAUGGCAUUCACAAGCCAGCAGCAAUGCCUUUGUUUGGCCCUGAUCCUAUUAGGAGCUUGGAUUCCACAAGCCUUGUCGUCUCGUGCGCUGCAAGAUGCAGCUAUGUACGAGAGGUACGAGCAAUGGACGGCUCGCUACGGACGCGUGUACAGGGACAACGUUGAGAAGGAGAAGCGGUUCACCAUUUUCAAACGAAACGUUGCACAUAUUGAAGCUUUCAACAAGGCUAGUAAGAAACCUUACAAGCUAGCCGUCAAUGAAUUUGCUGAUCUUACUAAUGAAGAGUUCAAAGUCUCACGAAACAGAUUCAAGGGCCACAUGUGUUCCGAACAAACAGGUCCAUUCAAGUACGAAAAUGUUACUGCGGUGCCUUCCACCAUGGACUGGCGGAAGAAAGGCGCUGUCACACCCGUCAAGGAUCAAGGACAAUGCGGUCAGUUUUUUCAUUUUGUCUAUUGGAGUUCGUUUUCUUUAGCUGCGUCCGAGUAACAAGGACGAGCAUAUUAUAUACUUAUAUAACACUUUGCAUAAUGAUAUAUAUAAAUGUGUGUAUAUAGGAUGCUGCUGGGCAUUUUCGGCAGUGGCAGCUAUCGAAGGAAUUAAUCAGCUAACAACUGGAAAAUUAGCCUCUCUGUCGGAGCAAGAGUUGGUGGAUUGUGACGUCAAGGGUGAAGAUGAAGGAUGCAACGGUGGUUUGAUGGACAAUGCAUUCCAAUUCGUUCAAAAGAACAAGGGGAUAACAACUGAAACAAACUAUCCUUACAAGGGAGUUGAUGGAAAAUGCAACGCUAAAGAGGAAGCAAAUCAUGCGGCCAAGAUUAAUGGACACGAGGAUGUGCCGGCCAACAGUGAGACAGCACUGAUGAAGGCUGUUGCUAAUCAACCGGUUUCGGUUGCAAUUGAUGCCGGAGGCUCUGAUUUCCAGUUCUACUCCAGCGGCGUGUUUACCGGAGACUGUGGCACUGAAUUGGACCAUGGUGUCACUGCUGUUGGUUAUGGAGCUGCUGAUGAUGGGACCAAGUAUUGGCUGGUGAAAAAUUCAUGGGGCACAAGCUGGGGAGAGGAAGGAUACAUAAGGAUGCAAAGGGAUAUUGAUGCCAAGGAAGGCCUCUGUGGAAUUGCCAUGCAAGCCUCUUACCCCACUGCAUAAAUAUCAAAAUAUCGAGGCAAAUAAUUAAUUAUGCCUUCUAUUUCACUUCAGUGUGUAAAAAUAUUGUGUAUGCUUUUGUAUUAUUACAACUGGAGAAAUUCGUCUAGCUGAUUGCUGACAUGAGUUCGUAAAACUAUGUAUAAUUAAGUGAUUGUUUAUAAUAUGUAUGAUGACAUUUUCGUUCUCAAUUACUAUCAGCAAUCGCCAUAGAACCAUCUUUGUUCACUUAUACCAAUUAUAACACCAUCGGCAGUAUUUGUGUUUUUUUUUUUUUUAAAAAAAUAGAGUGCCAAGAGGUUCAGGAGCUUGUAACUCUUCUAGCCAAUAAUAGGAAUGUAAUAUUGGGCAGCAUAAUUAAAACAUAGCAGCGUGAUUUUUUUUCUUCUUUUUGGGUAAUAUAAUGCAUUUGAUCAAACACUUAUAUUGAGCUUUCUCCAAAUCAUUAUAACUCAGGAAACCAGAUGUUCUCAACUUCUCGUCAUGUCACCAAAAGAGGCGACAGCCAUGUCUUUCAAAAACGUACUCUUACAAUAUUCUUAUCAGGUCCUCAGAAUUAUCGCUCCAUAAAAGCCUCACUAUCAGAAUAAAAACAGAGCAAUAGGUGAGAUUUCUAGAUCCUAAAAGAAAUCUAAAUUAUUUGUCACAAAAAUCACCGCUAAUUAGCAGAGCAAUGGAGAUAUUCAAGAGUAAUUUUAUUGUAUUGCACCGACUUAGUAUAUGUGUGACAUAUUUGUAUUUAUUUUAAAAAAUUAUUAUGUAAUUGAUAAUUAUAUUUAAUUUAUAUCCGCAUGUCAUAUGUGAUGAAAUAAAAUAAAUAUAUUCUAAAAUAUCUCAUACAAUAAAUCACAUGGCAUAAAAGUAUUAUUAAUAAUAAUUGAUAUCCCUGUAUAAGUCCGUGCGAACACAUGCCUUUUACAGCUUGGUAAAGGAAUAAAUUUCGUGCGGGUUCAUUUUGCAACUUUCAACUCGUCACAGGAACAUCAUCAGCUGAAAUGUGUCGGCGAAAAAAAAAAAAAAGAAAAUUAAGAAAUGAGAGAGAAAAUUUCUUCAGAGAGAUAAUAAAAUAGCUUCUUAACGUGGAGCUUAAAACAAGGUAAGAUGGAUUUAUAAAUGCAGCUAAAUUAAUGUUAAGUGCAAACAUCAACUAGAAACUCCGAAACAAAGAGAGUAGUAAGCCAUAGAACAAAGGAAGAAAAGGUUGCCAGUUAGACACCGCCGCCAGACCGGCAUCCAGCUGAGGCAAAGGGAGCAUUCGACUUAUAAGGAGAUUUGCACCAACGUCGAGCAGAUCGUUAGGGUUUCGGCGAUUUGGCUAUUCGGCUGUUUGAAAUAUCAGUACACUCGGUCCGUUUAUCAUUUUCCCUUUUUCAAAUUAACAAAGUAAAUUGGACCAGGUGUAUUUUUAUUUUCCUUAACUUUCUUUUAAAUUUUUUAUAAGAUUAACGAAUAAAAUUAUGUCAUGUUUACUAAAUAUUAUAUUAUACUUUCAUUGAUUAGUUAUAUAUAGAUCUACAUAAUUAAUUAUAGGACCAUAAUUAGUACAAACAAGCAGUCAUAAACUCAUAAAUAUAGAUGUUUUACCCACCUCAGAUUAUUUUUUCGGUCAAAUCCAUUUUAAAUUUGAUAAGUGUAUUGCUUCUCAAGUAUGAAUUGGCAUAUGUCAUAUAGAUUUGCGUAUUGUUGAUUGGAGAUUUUAAAUAGAUAUUCGAGAGAACUGAUUUUGGAAUUAUAUUUUUUGGGGUAACUACAUUGUGUAGUAUCCAACAAAUUAUUUAUGAAUGACUAAAGAAAUAUGAUCUUGCUACUUAUGAUUGUCACGAAUUAAAUUAUAAUCAUAUUGCUUUAGGUCAUUUACCAGUGUCAGUAAUUAAUGAUUUUACAAUUUGAACAAUCUUGAAUUCACCUCAAGAAAAUGACAAUACACCUUGUCCAAUUUACUUUGUUAAUUGAAAAAAAAAAAGUUAAAGAAAGCUGACGAAAAUAACGAUACACCUGGUGUAAUUUACUUUGGUAAUUUAAUUUGUCAGCUUUAGGUGAUUUACCAAAUGUCAGUGAAUCUUUUUAAUUUUGAAUUAUUAAGAUUUAGUUUAAUAUAUAUGGUAUAAAGGGGUAAGGUUGCUUUUUGGCUUGGUCAAUAACUUCAAACCCAACUUUUAAUUGGUUGAUGAGAAGCACAACUUAAUUUAUAUUAAACUAAAAUGAUAUAUAGAUAGAAGCUUUUUCGAACUAGAUAGCCUCAAUUUCAAAUUGUCAUAUAGAAUAACGAAAAACAAAAUUGAUCCUAGAAUUGUACCCACAUCCAUUUUAAGAUAUUGCGGGGAAAAAAAAAAACAGUGCAAGAAGUCCUCCUUUGUAAAGUUUUUCAUUACUAUAUUUUAAAAAAAUAUAUAUUUUACUGCAUUUUCAUUAACCCUGUUACUAAAAUGAUGACAUCAUAUUGACAUUACUAGGAAAAGAAUGACUUUUACUAAAUUUUUUCCCAACAUUUUAUAUUUAUAAUAAAAUUUGAAGGACAAAUUAUCCUCUAAAUCACAAAUUUUAAUUUAUUAAUUUUUUAACUAAUUAGAAAUCAUUUAUUUGUGCUGUUUUACUAUUUUGCAAUGCUGAAAGUAAUGAAAUAAUAAUAACCAAGAUAACAAUAAUAAUAAAGUAAUAAUAGUAAAAUAACUCAACAAUGCCCUUCAGUCGAAGCCAUUGCUAGAUCCAUGUCCUUUCGUCCGACAGAUAUGAGUUUGUUCCACCACCACAUUGCAGUAAUACCAAUAAAGUUGUGGUUGCCAAGGAUGACGACUGAAAAUUUUAUUACGUGAAAAAAUUUAUUACAAAACCCUAAUAAUACCCAAGGCUCUCAGUACACUUGUUGUUUCUCUCACAUUGAAAUUAUUUACUUGUAGAGAAAACUGAGUGAUUACCGAGUGAACCCAACCUCUUUAUAUAUAGUAAUUAUUUCUUGUUCAAGUAUUAUUUCUUUCUAUAUUGAAUUCUUCCUUGAAUAAGUUAAGUCCUAAAAAAAUUAGUUAUUCCUUAGAUAAAAAUCCUUUUAAAUAAGAAAACCACUAAAUAAGAAAAACCUAGGAAAUAUUAUAAUUUAGGAUUUACAAAUCCUUAUUGAAGAGACAUAUUUCCUAACAAUCCUCACCUUUGCGAGUUUUUUUAAUAACAUGAUAAAAUAUGACCCACCAUUUAUGCAUAUAACCAUGUUGUCCCCACCAUCUUUACUUCACCAAAACCACACUUGCAUAGGGCUUAUAAGAAUCACUCCACUGUGGAUGAAAUCUUAUACUUUAUCCAGCAACUAUAAUUCUUUAUAUAAAGAAUUAUCAUACUCCAUCGUAGAGCUGGCAAAACGGGUCAUCGGGUCGUGUUCGUGUCGUGUCAGCUUCGUGUCGUGUCAAAUUUAGGCCUACCCAAACCCGACCCAUUUAAUAAUCGUGUCAAAAUAUUGAGACCCAAACCCGACACGGAAAAAUAAUCGGGUUACCCAAUAACCCGUUUAAUAUCUAUAUAUUGAAUAAAAGUUACAUCAAAUAUUUACACACUAUCAUACAUAUAUAUGUACAUAAAUACAUACAUACAUACAUACAUACAUACAUACAUACAUACAUACAUACAUAAUUUAUCGAUAUUAUAAAAUAUACAUAUCUACCAAUAUAUUACACAUUUACACUAUUGAGGUUUUAAUUAUAUAUAUAUAUAUAUAUAUAUAUAAUAUUAUAUAUAAAAUAUUAUAUAUCAAUAUUAUAAAAUAUACAUAUCUAUUAAUUUUUACACAUUUACACUAUUGAAGCUCUAAAUAUAUGUAAAAUUUUAUAAAUAAAACAUUGUGUUUAUAUUCACCCUUUUAAAGAAUAAAAAAAAAGAAAAUCAUCUCUAAUAUUUGAGUUUUAAUUAUAAGAAUAUGUAAAUUAUUUUAAAAUAGAAAAUAUAAUCGGGUCAUUGAUCGGGUAAAUGGGUCAAGAAUUUUAACCCAAACCCGACACGGAAAAAAAUCGUGUUGACCCGGACCCGACCCAUUUAAUAAUCGUGUUAAAUUUGACGACCCAUACCCAUUUAUUUAUGUCGUGUUCGUGUCGGAUAAUCGGGUCGUGUCAAAUUUUGCCAGCUCUACUCCAUCGUACGCAGAGUGCAUAUAUUCAAUACAUGUCGAUCACAUUGCUGAAAAUACCCAUUCUCAUGUUUGGCUUCCUUAAGAGUUCUCAACCAUCAACAUAAAAAUUCCUCCAUACAUUUUGCAUAAAUGCCCAACUAUGCCUUAAGUGUAAACCUUGUAGACUCGCUAUUAGUUACACAUCCUCUUCCAUAGCACACCAAAAACAAUAGACUAGUCUCUCAUGGAGAAAAGUGCCAUAUAGCUAGCUGACACUAUUAGUAUUUGUAUCAACUAAUUUAGAGCUACUUGCUGAACCUGCUCUAUUCCAACAAUCUUCUUUAAAUUGUCUUGAUUGUCUAUACAGCUUUAGGUGUUUUGAGAUUUACAUUACCCUUGAUUUUCUUAUAAAACAUAUAUUGGAUCAGUAUAUAUAUCUUGACUUCAAUCUACCUCAAGCCAAAAUUUAUUAUCCCAUCAAACUUUUCUAGUUCUACUUCACAUGUUUUGAAAACUUCAGGCCAAAACUCAUUCUUCUAAACUUUUCUAUUUUUUACUUCAUAGGCUUUGAAAAUUUCAAGCCAAAAUUUUAUUCUCCCAUCAAACUUUUCUAUUUUACUCUCAUUAGGCCAUCCAAGAUCUCCUCCAUCGUGAUUGGCUGAUCAAAGUGGACCAUAUCUAUCGGGAAGGCAAUGCAGCAUCAGAUUUCCUUGCUUCAUACAUCUUUUCGUUUCCUUUGGGUUUACAAUGCUUUCAAUAUAUUCCUCCAAAUAUGCUUAGCAUAUUAAAUAAUGAUGUUUAUGGGGUUGCACACUCCCGCUUAGUGUUGCCUUAGCUCUCUUAAGAGCCCUUUUAUGAUUAAAAAAAGAAGAAAAGAAAAUACAUAUAUUUGAAUAUUAACUGUAUGUUCUUAAAAAAAAUGAAAAGUAUAUGUUCUUAUAAAUACACACUUGACACGAUAUCUAUAAACAUCAGCACUUUGAUCCAAAAUUCUAUAUAUACACAUGCCCUAAUAAUUUAAUCGAACGACCGCAAAUGUGCAAAUGAAGCGCAAUAAAGUGAUAAACAAAGGCAUAAAAAAAAAAUUAUAAAUUAAACAUACUGUUACUUGAAAUAUAUGGAUCAUAUUAAUCUAUAUAUAAAAUGUAAUAUAUGUCGGAACCUAAGCUAACUUCUUACCGAUGGAUUCAGGCCCAGCUCAUUUGUUGGCCCUGGGCCCCUGGCUGAGUUUGGCAAAACAAAAACGGCAUCAGAUUCAAUUUUAUUUUAUUUUUUAAAUACCGUUGAAAAUGUUUUCAAAAAGCAAAAACUAAUCCAAUCUCAAGAUGUCUGUCUUUUCGGGCCUAAAUGUAGACGUACGUUUCAGCAAUUGUGAAUAUGUAAUUUAUUCUUCAGCUACUCAACGUCUCAAUCAUCUAUAUAUUGCUCAAACUUGCAUCCAAUUCUUAUGUCAAACCUUCAACACAAAGAAUGUAACGGUACGGCAAGAGCUUGCAUAACGGUUUGUACGUCUUGUUGGUUCAACUCAGUUAAUUUUAUGGGUCAAAAUCAGAAUAUCCUCUCAGCCACGCUGAUAAUCGAAGCUUUCAUUUGAUACUAAUAAUCACAAUCUUCAAUGGGGCCUAAGAACUUGCCUAUAAAUCCCAGGAGUGAUCCUUGUUUCCAUGUAUCUCUUCACUUGAUCAAUUACUCUAUUCACAGCAGCUAAACUAAUACUAGUAAUUGAAAUGGCAUUCACAAGCCAGCAGCAAUGCCUUUGUUUGGCCCUGAUCUUAUUAGGAGCUUGGAUUCCACAAGCCAUGUCGUCUCGUACGCUGCAAGAUGCAGCUAUGUACGAGAGGUACGAGCAAUGGACGGCUCGCUACGGACGCGUGUACAGGGACAACGUUGAGAAGGAGAAGCGGUUCACCAUUUUCAAACAAAACGUUGCACAUAUUGAAGCUUUCAACAAGGCUAGUAAGAAACCUUACAAGCUAGCCGUCAAUGAAUUUGCUGAUCUUACUAAUGAAGAGUUCAAAGUCUCACGAAACAGAUUCAAGGGCCACAUGUGUUCCGAACAAACAGGUCCAUUCAAGUACGAAAAUGUUACUGCGGUGCCUUCCACCAUGGACUGGCGGAAGAAAGGCGCUGUCACACCCGUCAAGGAUCAAGGACAAUGCGG
This 7482-nucleotide long non-coding RNA is filed under the name Citrus maxima (pomelo). RNAcentral describes it as "long non-coding RNA (CMAX_LNC000561)". The record is from RNAcentral. Lineage: Eukaryota; Viridiplantae; Streptophyta; Magnoliopsida; Sapindales; Rutaceae.